CGCAAUGGGCGAAAGCCUGACGGAGCAACGCCGCGUGAGGGACGAAGGCCUCUGGGCUGUAAACCUCUUUUCUCAAGGAAGAAGAUAUGACGGUACUUGAGGAAUAAGCCACGGCUAAUUCCGUGCCAGCAGCCGCGGUAAUACGGGAGUGGCAAGCGUUAUCCGGAAUUAUUGGGCGUAAAGCGUCCGCAGGCGGCUUUUCAAGUCUGCUGUUAAAGCGUGGAGCUUAACUCCAUCAUGGCAGUGGAAACUGAAAAGCUUGAGUAUGGUAGGGGCAGAGGGAAUUCCCGGUGUAGCGGUGAAAUGCGUAGAUAUCGGGAAGAACACCAGUGGCGAAGGCGCUCUGCUGGGCCAUUACUGACGCUCAUGGACGAAAGCCGGGGGAGCGAAAGGGAUAGAUACCCCUGUAGUCCUGGCCGU
Molecule: ribosomal RNA, 420 nt
Filed under: uncultured bacterium
Lineage: Bacteria
Description: bacterial SSU rRNA
Rfam family: Bacterial small subunit ribosomal RNA
Source: RNAcentral